RNA transcript from Brassica rapa (field mustard), 5940 nucleotides. It is a transcript of the gene named probable aldo-keto reductase 4, with no coding region annotated. NCBI's taxonomy places the organism in Eukaryota, Viridiplantae, Streptophyta, Magnoliopsida, Brassicales, Brassicaceae. The record is from RefSeq and is a predicted model, not a curated record.
UCAAUGAUGUGGUGAAACAUAUAUUGAGAGACAAGGAGCUUCCAUGCUAUGAUGAAGUGUGUGCUCAACUUCAAAAAGGAGAUAGGCUCAAAUGGUCUUUUUGGAGGUGGAAAAGGAGGUCUUUCUAUGGCACACAAGGCUGAGAAUAUGGGAAAUGCAUCAGCUAACAAAGCUUACUUCAAGCCAAGGGGAGGAGUAGACAAAACAGUGACUUGUGAACAUUGCAAGAAGCAAGGACACUCCAAAACCAACUGUUGGAUCCUCCAUCCUCAUCUCAGGCCAGCCUCAGCCAAUAAAUACAACCAUGCCAGAGCCCAUGAAGCAAGAGCUCAGGAGCAUCCAGCACCAAGCUACAUACACAUGGGAGAUGGUGGGAGAGCCUUUGUCUCUACAACCCACACUGGUACCUCCACCUCUCAUGCCAUGCCUCAGCCAUCUCAUGAGGAUGCAUUCAUCAGGAAGUCAGACAUUGAGGCCUUGAUCAAGGCUCUCAAUGCAAAUUCUGGUAACCGAAGUAUUAAUGCUUUAAAUUCUAUUCACAAUGAACCACACACUGCUAGGCCAAUGAUCAUUGAUUCAGGAGCUUCUCAUCACAUGAUUAGGGAUGCUAGACUAAUUAGUGAUAUUAAACCAGCUCUAGGAAGUGUUGUGAUUGCAAAUGGUGAUAGAAUUCCAAUUAAAGGAGUAGGAAAUCUGAAUCUGUUUGAUAAAGAAUCUCAAGCCUUUUAUAUGCCUACAUUUACCUCUAAUCUUUUAUCUGUGAAAAGAGCCACUAAUGAUUUAAAUUGCAAUAUUAUUUUUAGUCCUAAUGAUGUGUGCUUUCAGGAUAUUGAGACAAGUAAGAUGCUAGGCAAAGGUGUGAGCAAGGGAGAGCUGUAUUUCCUUGAAGAUGCCAAGCUUAGAUCAGAUUCUACUUAUGCAUUUACUUCUGCCUCUGUUUUAGCUAAUGAUGUGUUAUGGCAUGCUAGAUUAGGCCACCCUCAUUUUCAUGCUUUGCAACUGAUGUUACCUAAUCUAUCUCUUAAAAAUGAAACUUGUGAGGCUUGUAUUCUUGGUAAACAUCAUAAAUCUGUUUUUUCUUCAUCUAUGACUAUGUAUGAGAAUUGUUUUGAUCUAGUUCACUCUGAUGUUUGGACUGCACCUUGUGUUUCUAGAGAAAACCAUAGAUAUUUUGUGACAUUCAUAGAUGAGAAAUCAAAAUAUACUUGGCUCACAUUGAUUCAAAGUAAAGAUAGAGUUUUAGAAGCUUUUAUUAACUUUCAAAACUAUGUAACUAACCAUUUCAAUUCCAAGAUCAAAAUUUUUAGGUCGGAUAAUGGGGGAGAAUACACUAGCAAUGCCUUCAAACAACACUUAGCAAAACAUGUAAUUAUUCACCAGACAAGCUGUCCAUACACACCACAACAAAAUGGAGUGGCUGAGAGAAAGAAUCGCCACCUUAUGGAGGUUGCAAGAAGCAUGAUGUUUCACACCAAUGUUCCAAAGAGAUUUUGGGGAGAUGCUGUGGUUUCUGCAUGCUAUCUCAUCAAUAGAAUCCCAACCAGAGUCCUCAAAGAUGUCUCUCCAUUUCAGGUAUUGAACAAAACUAAGCCUCCUAUUGAUCACUUGCGUGUGUUUGGGUGUGUGUGCUAUGUGUUGCUACCAGGUGAGCAAAGGACCAAGCUUGAUCCCAAGAGUAUCAAAGCUAUGUUCAUAGGAUACUCUCACACACAGAAAGGAUACAAGUGUUACCUGCCAAACUCAAGAAGGGUAAUGGUCUCAAGGGAUGUCAAGUUUGUGGAAUCAAAGGGGUACUAUGAUGAGAAGAGCUGGGAAAACCUUAGGGAUCUUUCACAUGGACCAUCUGAUAGAGCAAACAACCUGAAGAUCAUCCUGGAAAGUUUAGGAAUCAGUAAGCCUCAGAGCAGUGAGGCGCAUAGAACCUCUCCAUCAACACCAGUGGCUGUAACUAAUGAAGAAGCAGUACCGAUUGUUGAGCCAGUCCAUCCUGAUCAUGAGGGGGGCGAUGAGCAUGAAUCAACACCAGAAACACCAGAAGAUGAUUCAGCAUCAGUUCAUGAUCAAGAUGGAGCUGAAUCUGAUCAGUCUAGUAGAGAUCAGUAUGAUGGUGAUCAAGGACAGGAAGAAGCAGUGGUAGAAGAGCAGAUUCAACCAUUGAGGAGAAGUAUUAGAGUGAGGAAACCAUCCAAGUGGGUCGACACCAGAGUAUACUUCAACAGUAAUGCAGUGGCUCAUCCUAUCCAAGCAACCUGCUCCUUUGCAAGCUAUCCUCAAGAGCAUAUAGCUUUCAUCACCAACCUGGAUCAAGAAUAUGUUCCAAAGACUUAUGAAGAAGCUAUGGAGGAUGAUGAGUGGAGAGAGUCUGUUGGAGAUGAAGUUGGAGCCAUGAUCAAAAAUGAUACUUGGUAUGAAACUGAGCUUCCGAAAGGAAAGAAAGCGUCACCAGUCGCCUACUCUUCACCAUCAAGUACUUGGCAAAUGGAAAGCCAGAAAGGAGAAAGACAAGGCUAGUUGCAAGAGGAUACACUCAAAUCUAUGGAGAAGACUAUCUGGAUACCUUUGCACCAGUAGCUAAGCUCCACACUAUAAGGAUUGUUCUCUCCUUGGCUGUGAACUUGGAAUGGGAUUUAUGGCAGAUGGAUGUUAAGAAUGCUUUUCUACAAGGAGAGCUAGAGGAUGAGGUUUACAUGAGACCACCACCUGGUAUGGAAGACAUGGUCAAGCCAGGAAAUGUCCUAAGAUUAAAGAAGGCCAUCUAUGGUUUAAAACAAUCACCAAGAGCCUGGUAUCACAAACUGAGUACAACUCUCAAUGGAAGAGGGUUUGUAAAAUCAGAAGCUGAUCAUACUCUCUUCACCCUCACAAGCAAGCAAGGAAUUGUGGUGAUUCUAAUCUAUGUGGAUGAUAUCAUCAUCACAGGAAGCAAUAAGGAAGGUAUCAUCUCUACUAAAGCUUUUCUUAAAUCUAGCUUUGAUAUUAAAGAUUUGGGUGAGCUAAAGUACUUUCUAGGGAUAGAAAUAUGUCGCUCUAAAGAGGGGAUUUUCUUAUCUCAAAGAAAGUACACACUUGAUCUUUUAAAUGAGGCAGGAAAGCUUGUAGCAAGAGUAGCUAAGACACCACUUGAAGAGGGUUACAAAGUCUUGCGUGAGGGGGAGAUUGAGGACACUCCUUUUGGCGACUUUAAGCUCUAUAGAAGAAUGGUUGGGAAGCUGAUCUAUCUCACCAUUACAAGACCAGACAUCUGCUUUGCUGUGAAUCAAGUCAGCCAGUAUAUGCAAGCACCAAAGGUUCACCAUUGGAAUAUGGUGGAGAGGAUCAUGAGAUAUCUAAGGGAGGCUCCUGGUCAAGGUGUUUGGAUGGGUUGCAACAAGAGCACUGAGAUUGUAGGAUAUUGUGAUGCAGAUUGGGCUGGAGAUAGAGUGGAUAGGAGGUCUACUACUGGUUAUUGCACUUUUAUAGGAGGCAAUCUGGUUACUUGGAAGAGCAAGAAGCAGAAGGUGGUAUCAUGUUCAAGUGCUGAGGCAGAAUACAGAGCAAUGAGGAAGCUGACCAGUGAGCUCAUUUGGAUCAGAAACUUGCUAAGGGACUUGGGCAUAGAGACAACAACACCAAUUACAAUGCACUGUGAUAACCAAGCAGCCAUUCAUAUAGCUUCAAACUCAGUGUUUCAUGAGAGGACAAAGCAUAUUGAAGUGGAUUGUCACAAGGUUAGACAAGCUGUGGAGCAGAAGAUCAUUAUACCUUGCUACACUAGAAGUGAAGACCAGCUAGCUGAUAUCUUCACUAAAGGAGCAAGCACCAAAGUCUGUGAGUUCAUCCAUCCAAGAUUGGGACUCAUAGACUUGCCUAGAUCAUGAUCCUCUUAAGCCAUGAAGCAUCUACUCUUUUUCCUCUUGUGUGUUUUUGUCCCAUUGGGUUUUUCACACAAGAGUUUUUUUAAUGAGGGAUGUCUUCAUGGGUUUCAAGCUCAACCAUACCUUAUGGUUAAGUUUGAGGGGGAGUAUUGACAUACACAAGUCACCAGACUUGAGAACAAGUCACAAGACUUGAGAACAAGUCACCAGACUUGAGAACAAGUCACCAGACUUGAGAACCAGACUUGGAAACCAAACUUGAGAUGCAGCCUUGCAAGUUCAAACUCGCCCAAGAUGUGUUCAAAGGUCAACCAGACCGUUGGAAAGAUCAGAAACAAGUUGGAGUUCUAAAUUACUUAAAGUCACAUGAUCUAUUUAGAGGAGAGAGGAAGAAAGAACUGUUGAGGUGUUGUCCCUUUAAGCUCAUCUUGCAGCAUCAUUCUUUAUUAUUUAUCUCUUUGUUUGUAUCCCAUCUCUGAGCCUUUAAAUAUUGUAACAUUAUGAACUAAAUGAAUUAAGGAAAUAUAUCCUUCUUUACUCUAUCUCUUUUACUCUUGAUUUACUCUCUCUCUCUCUCUCCCUCUCUCUCUUGUUCUUGAGCAUUAUCACUCUUGUUCUUCAUUUUCUAACAAAAUUGAGGUAACAAUAUGUUGAAGUUGCCGACGUAUGCUGCUAUGCAUACAUAGGAGCUUUAUUUUUUUGAACAUACAUAUAUAGGAGCUUUAUUAAGGUCAAAUAUUUAUUAUUGGUUGAUUAGCAUAUACAUCAGUAGAUUAUUACUAAAUUAAUUAUAUUUUAUAAAAAUAUGAAAAUAUAUAUAACAAUAAUAAAAUAUAAUCACUAAUUUAAUAAAGUUAAUAAUAAUAUUUUUUUGUUUAGAUUAAAGUUAUAAUUUUUUUAAUGUAUAAUUUUUUUUAAUUUUAUGAAUAUUAUAUCUACUUUUAAAAAAUAUAAUUAAUUAUUAUAAUUUUUUUUUGAGAUGAAAAUUAUAAUUUUUAGUGAAUAGUCUUUUAUUUAUGAAGAUUAAUAUUAUACUUUUGAAAUAAAAUUAAUAAUAAUAUUAUGUUUGUUGUUAGAUGAAAAUUUUAACUUUUAGUGAUGAAUUUUUUUUUGUUUUAUGAAAAUUAGUAUUAUACGUUAUAAAACAUUUUGUUUAAUUUCUACAUAUGUAUAUAAAUCAGUGAUUAAGGAAAAUCGGUACAAAAUAUUUCAGUUUAAAUCUCUUAUAAAUAUAGAUUAUGAUACUUAUAAAUUAAAAAUAUAAAAUAUAAAAUAUAUUUAUAGUUAUAGUAUCUAAAUUAUUGAACUAAUUUUAUUUUAAAAUAAAUAUUUUGCUGUUAUGUUUUUAUGUGCACACUUGUAACACUACCGCAAAGUUACCCACAAAAUCAACUUUUAAUUUUGGAAGGUCUUAAGCAAAUACGAAACGGGUAUAAUACUGCUUCUAUUGCAGGUGGUGUACAGCAGAACAGUCAAGACGCACGCUUCUUUUUAUGUCUGGUCAAUCAUUAUUCAUUCACCACCAACCCAACUCCACCAACCUCUCCACUCAAUUCAAAACUCUCUCUCUCACUACAAAAGAGUCAAAGAGAGAUAGAAAGAAAGAAAGAAAGAAAGAAAGAAAGAAAUCGAUGGCGGAAGCUAGCGGAGUGAAGAGAAUGAAGCUGGGAAGCCAAGGCCUUGAGGUAUCUGCACAGGGCCUCGGUUGCAUGGGCCUCUCCUCCUUCUACGGUGCUCCCAAGCCCGAAACUGACGCCAUCGCUCUUCUCCACCACGCAAUCGAAUCCGGCGUUACUUUCCUAGACACUUCCGACAUCUACGGUCCUCAGACCAACGAGCUGCUCCUCGGCAAGGCUCUGAAGAAUGGGUUGAGGGAAAAAAUAGAGCUUGCGUCCAAAUUUGGGAUCAGCUACGGAGAGGGGAAGAGAGAGAUAAAGGGAGAUCCUUUGUAUGUUAGAGCUGCUUGUGAGGCUAGUUUAAAGCGGCUUGAUGUGGACUGCAUUGAUCUUUACUACCAGCAUCGCAUCGAUACUCGUGUCCCUAUCGAAAUCACUAUGGGGGAACUGAAGAAGCUAGUUGAAGAAGG